UAGUGUAGAUAAUAUCGUUUGUAUAUGUGUGUGUAUAUAUAUAUAAUUUAGCUUGAAAGCCUUACACGUAGAGAGAGAGCAAAACGUGUGAGGGACUCUGACAUGUGACCAAAGCCACAAAGCUAGUCGGUGCUGUAAGCCUAUAACUGCCAACUGGGUGUCGUCCCCAUCUCUCUCUCUCUCUCUCUCUCUCUCUCUCUCUCUCUGCGUAUCUAUAUGCGAACUUUCUCCAUAUCUUCUUUCUUUUUAAGCCGCUUCGACUCUCCUGCGAUUUUAAAGAGAGAACAAGUAAGCAGCUUCAUUUAACCUGCAUCUUCCAUCGAUCGAAAUAUAUAUUUAUAUAUUGUUUUAUUUUGAUGAUCAUGUCUAAGAUGAGGAAAAUGAGGAAAACCCUACGAACCAAGUUGAGAUCUGCGUUCUUCAAGCCAAGAAGAGAAAAAGACAAUGUCGGCGGCAAUGGCUUCUCCAGCAAGUCAAGCGUGAACGAAGAAUACAUGGAAGUUUUCAGAACAAAGUCGUACGUAGAAAUGUGGGAUAGGGUUCACGAACAGCUGCUGAGCACUAGUGCUAAGCUUCAAUCUUAAAAGUGGUCAUGUGCAUUAAGCUUCAAUCUUAAGUACAUUUUAGACCAAAAUCAUGCAGUUUAAUAACCAAUGCUAAUGAAGUACAACAUGAAUUAUAGGGCAUUAUGAUUU
RNA transcript from Pyrus x bretschneideri (Chinese white pear), 695 nucleotides. RefSeq lists it as uncharacterized. Lineage: Eukaryota; Viridiplantae; Streptophyta; Magnoliopsida; Rosales; Rosaceae. The record is from RefSeq and is a predicted model, not a curated record. The transcript has 2 exons.